AUGAGCUGUCGUGGCCAAGUGGAGCUACGGCAAGCCACUUGGUCCUUAAAGGUUGUGAUUGAUCAUUUUUGCCAGCCAACUAGUCAAACAACAUAACUGUCCACGGAGUCAAGUGAAGAUAGUCAAGCGAUAAAUAUUCUCAGAAUGAGUAGUGGCAGGUGUAGUGUGCAGUGGGGGGGUCUGCUCCUCCUGUCCUGCUGUCUGCUAUGUGUUGACUCUCAGGUGGAGCCACAGCAGCAGCAGCAGCCCCCCCCGCCGGUCAUAGAGAGUGGAGCCUCCAUAUCUGGCCACGCUCACGGCCGCCUGGACAGAACCAUGGUCCAGGACAAAGACCACAUCAUGGAGCAUUUAGAGGGAAUGAUAGACAAACCAGAGAAAGAAAUGACACCCCAGGAGCUUCAGCUGCACUAUUUCAAGAUGCACGAUUAUGAUGGCAACAACCUGCUGGAUGGGCUAGAGCUAGCCACAGCUAUCUCACAUGUACACAGAGAGGAGAGAGGAGAGAACAGCCAGCCAUUGAAAGAGGAGGACCUUAUCACUCUCAUUGAUGAUGUUCUGAAGGACGAUGACAAGAACAAUGACGGUUACAUAGAUUAUGCAGAGUUUGCCAAAUCACUGGAGUAAGAUGUCACCUGAGAACUUACAAGCUUCAUACCAACAACAACAACAACAACAACAAGGAAUCUGCCGAGAAGAGAAGGCCAACUGAGCUGACUGCCUUUUUGGUUAGUUUGGUUCUGGUGUAUGCUUACAGUACACUUGCAGUGACAUUUCUGCGCCUUCUGUUUUCGUAGGUUCCUUGAGAUCAUGCCUUUUUUCUGAAGGGUCAGUUCACCAAAUAUCACUAUUUUUUUUCCCCUAAACCCCUCAUGGUAUCUAACCAUGGAUAUAUACUUUUAGUUCUUUUUGAGAUUUAGACAUCUCUGCGGUGACUUCUGCCAAAAGGCCUAAAAAAUAAAAGCCCAAAACCUUUAUUGGGAACUAGUACAGUUAUCAAUGAAGUGGUAGCAGAGGUCUCAGUGGCAGGUAUCCUGGCUAAUAAAACCCAAUCCAUCUGCAUGGCUACCGUAGGGGAAAGUUAGGAAUAAAAAAUAUGGGUUUUUUUUGUAAUUUUGUAUGAUUAGCCCUUUCGUAUGUACAGCAGCUCUAUAGUGUGUGUUCUUCUGUUAGUGGUGCUACCCUGAAUUUACUCUGGUAGCCCAAAAGCAUCUCAACAGAAUGUCAUCACUUUAAAUGGACCACAGUUUCCAUUUGAAACUCUGUGCAUACUGGACUCAAGCAGACACACACUUAUUUACAGUAGCUUACACACUGUCACUGUGUGAUACUCAAAAUGGUGGACCAAAUGAUUCUGUCUGGGAAUCCUUUUCAUUUGCUGUUUGUGAUGAGGCAAACGGGUUGUUCUCAUGACUUGGGAAAGUGGCCUUGACUUGCUGUGUGUGUGUGUGUGUGUGUGUGUGUGUGUUUACAAGCAGAACAACACGUUGAAUGUUGCCAGCAGAGACUCCAUGCAGCAUAAAUGGCACCUCCUGAGGUUGUAUUUGCUGUUGUUUUCAUGAAGAUUAACACAAUUAUAUGAGCCAAUCACCAUCAUCUUCACUGUGGUCGGCGAGCCUGCUAAUACUUAAAAUCUAACGCCAUAGAGUGAAUGUAAAGCAGCGCCGUACUGCUGGUUCUUUAUCACUGUAUAAGCUAGACUUAAAGCACACUGGUUGAUGCUGCUGCCAUUGCAAUUGUUUAAAAAGCUGGCAUAGCUUCAUGGGUUUCUUGUUAUAACCUCAACACACGUUUGCUUCCAAUCAUUAGCUGCCUUUAAAACAGAUACGGAUCAAACCCGUCAUGUCUGUGUGUGUGUUAAUGUUUGUUAAAUCCAUCUGUGUGAGAUGGAUGAAUGAAUUCUAUAUUUUUGCCAUCCAGUAUUGAUUCUUCAAUCUGUUCAGGUUGUUGAUUAUAUUCAAACAAACAAA
RNA transcript from Sander lucioperca (pikeperch), 1967 nucleotides. It is a transcript of the gene named multiple coagulation factor deficiency 2, ER cargo receptor complex subunit, with no coding region annotated. The transcript has 6 exons. The record is from RefSeq and is a predicted model, not a curated record. Lineage: Eukaryota; Metazoa; Chordata; Actinopteri; Perciformes; Percidae.